GACGUAGGGUGCGAGCGUUGUCCGGAUUUAUUGGGCGUAAAGAGCUCGUAGGCGGCUCGUCGCGUCGACCGUGAAAACCCGCAGCUUAACUGCGGGCUUGCGGUUGAUACGGGCGGGCUAGAGUUCGGUAGGGGAGACUGGAAUUCCUUGUGUAGCGGUGAAAUGCGCAGAUAUCAGGAGGAACACCGGUGGCGAAGGCGGGUCUCUGGGCCGAUACUGACGCUGAGGAGCGAAAGCGUGGGGAGCGAACAGG
This 253-nucleotide ribosomal RNA is filed under the name uncultured bacterium. RNAcentral's name for it is "partial 16S ribosomal RNA". It matches the Rfam family "Bacterial small subunit ribosomal RNA", at positions 524 to 776 of the family's 1533-position model. The record is from RNAcentral.